This 58-nucleotide microRNA precursor is filed under the name Rattus norvegicus (Norway rat). RNAcentral's name for it is "Rno-Mir-506-P2b_pre stem-loop". The record is from RNAcentral. Lineage: Eukaryota; Metazoa; Chordata; Mammalia; Rodentia; Muridae.
CACUUCAGGAUGUACCACCCAUUUAAUGGAAAAUAUGAUUGGUACUUCUUUAAGUGAG